RNAcentral lists this ribosomal RNA (175 nucleotides) under Gammaproteobacteria bacterium. RNAcentral describes it as "partial 23S ribosomal RNA". It matches the Rfam family "Bacterial large subunit ribosomal RNA", at positions 1 to 173 of the family's 2925-position model. The record is from RNAcentral. Lineage: Bacteria; Pseudomonadati; Pseudomonadota; Gammaproteobacteria.
GUUAUAUGGUCAAGUGAAGAAGCGCAUACGGUGAAUGCCUUGGCGACAGGAGGCGAUGAAGGACGUGGCAGCCUGCGAUAAGCUUCGGGGAGCCGGCAAACAGGCUUUGAUCCGGGGAUGUCCGAAUGGGGAAACCCACCGCGCAAGCGGUAUCCUGACCUGAAUCCAUAGGGCC